RNAcentral lists this ribosomal RNA (446 nucleotides) under uncultured bacterium. RNAcentral's name for it is "partial 16S ribosomal RNA". It matches the Rfam family "Bacterial small subunit ribosomal RNA", at positions 338 to 795 of the family's 1533-position model. The record is from RNAcentral.
CCUACGGGAGGCAGCAGUAGGGAAUAUUCGGCAAUGGGGGGAACCCUGACCGAGCAACGCCGCGUGAACGAAGAAGUUACUCGUAAUGUAAAGUUCUUUUAACAGGGAAGAAAGAGCAAUUUGACGGUACCUGAAGAAUAAGCUCCGGCUAACAACGUGCCAGCAGCCGCGGUAAUACGUAGGGAGAGAGCGUUAUCCGUAAUUAUUGGGCGUAAAGGGUGCGUAGAGGGCAUGGUAAGUCUUUUGUAAAAAUGCUGGGCUCAACCCAGUAGGGCAAAAGAUACUGCAAAGCUAGAGUAUGACAGAGGCAAGUGGAACUACAUGUGUAGCGGUGAAAUGCGUAGAUAUAUGUAAGAACACCAGUGGCGAAGGCGGCUUGCUGGGUCGAUACUGACAUUGAGGCACGAAAGCGUGGGGAGCAAACAGGAUUAGAUACCCCUGUAGUC